This 77-nucleotide transfer RNA is filed under the name Hippoglossus stenolepis (Pacific halibut). RNAcentral's name for it is "tRNA-Thr". It matches the Rfam family "tRNA". Rfam says of the family: Transfer RNA (tRNA) molecules are approximately 80 nucleotides in length. Their secondary structure includes four short double-helical elements and three loops (D, anti-codon, and T loops). Further hydrogen bonds mediate the characteristic L-shaped molecular structure. tRNAs have two regions of fundamental functional importance: the anti-codon, which is responsible for specific mRNA codon recognition, and the 3' end, to which the tRNAs corresponding amino acid is attached (by aminoacyl-tRNA synthetases). tRNAs cope with the degeneracy of the genetic code in two manners: having more than one tRNA (with a specific anti-codon) for a particular amino acid; and 'wobble' base-pairing, i.e. permitting non-standard base-pairing at the 3rd anti-codon position. Lineage: Eukaryota; Metazoa; Chordata; Actinopteri; Pleuronectiformes; Pleuronectidae. The record is from RNAcentral.
GGUGCUGUGGCUUAGUUGGUCAAAGUGCCUGUCUAGUAAACAGGAGAUCCUGGGUUCAAAAUGCCCCAGCAGUGCCU